This 305-nucleotide ribosomal RNA is filed under the name uncultured bacterium. RNAcentral's name for it is "bacterial SSU rRNA". It matches the Rfam family "Bacterial small subunit ribosomal RNA", at positions 333 to 636 of the family's 1533-position model. The record is from RNAcentral.
UUUCACCUACGGGACGCAGCAGUGAGGAAUAUUGGUCAAUGGCCGCAGGGCUGAACCAGCCAAGUCGCGUGAGGGAUGACGGUCCUAUGGAUUGUAAACCUCUUUUGUCAGGGAGCAAAGGGCGCCACGUGUGGCGUUUUGCGAGUACCUGAAGAAAAAGCAUCGGCUAACUCCGUGCCAGCAGCCGCGGUAAUACGGAGGAUGCGAGCGUUAUCCGGAUUUAUUGGGUUUGAAAGGUGCGCAGGCGGAAUGUCAAGUCAGCGGUAAAAUUUCGGGGCUCAACCCCGUCAUGUCGUUGAAACGAG